Molecule: long non-coding RNA, 519 nt
Filed under: Salmo salar (Atlantic salmon)
Lineage: Eukaryota; Metazoa; Chordata; Actinopteri; Salmoniformes; Salmonidae
Description: lncRNA (ENSSSAG00000099142.1)
Source: RNAcentral
GGGGGGUGUGUGGUAAAAGGCUGUGUGUGUGGGCAUGUGGGGUGUGUGGUAAAAGGCUGUGUGUGUGGGCAUGUGGGGUGUGUGGUAGAAGGCUAUGUGUCCGGGGUGUGUGGUAGAAAGCUGUGUGUGGGGUCUGUGGUAAAAGGCUGUGUGUGGGGUCUGUGGUAGAAGGCUGUGUGUGUGGGGUGUGUGGUAGAAGGCUGUGUGUGGUAGAAGGUGGGGUGUGUGGUAGAAGGCUGUAUUUGGGAUGUGUGGUAGAAGGCUGUGUGUGUGGGUAUGUGGGGUGUGUGGUAGAAGGUGGGGUGUGUGGUAGAAGGCUGUGUGUGGCAGAAGGCUGUGUGUGUGGGGUGUGUGGUAAAGGCUGUGUGUGUGGGCAUGUGGGGUGUGUGGUAAAAGGCUGUGUGUGUGGGCAUGUGGGGUGUGUGGUAGAAGGCUAUGUGUGUGGGGGGGUGUGGUAGAAGGCUGUGUGUGUGGGGGGGGGUGUGGUAGAAGGCUAUGUGUGUGGGGUGUGUGUGGUAG